GGUCCUGUAGUGUAGUGGCCUAUCACCCCGCACUUUGAAUGCGGAAACCCGAGUUCGAAUCUCGGCAGGACCU
Non-coding RNA from Blastocladiella emersonii ATCC 22665, 73 nucleotides. Lineage: Eukaryota; Fungi; Blastocladiomycota; Blastocladiomycetes; Blastocladiales; Blastocladiaceae. The record is from the annotation of a GenBank genome assembly.